UGGUCCAAAAUUGGAUCUAUCUAUUGUUUUUCGUCCUUAUCAACAUAAAAAGAUUAUUAUACCCUUAUAUUUGUUUUUUUUUAAUUUUUUAUAUUUAUUCAAAUGUUUUUCAUUAAUUAAAAUUAAGAAAAAGGUCUCUCUCUCUCUCUCUCUCUCUCUCUCUCUCUCUCUCUCUCUCUCUCUCUCUCUCUCUCUCUCUCUCUCUCUCUCUCUCUCUCUCUCUCUCUCUCUCUCUCUCCAUAUGUGUAACCCACAGAAAAAAUGGGUCGACGCCCUUAUCCACCCAAAUCUUUAUCAUCUUCCUCGCUCCCUUGACGGUCACUACCAUUGCCAUCCCCCGUUACCUGCAAAUCAGAAAUCAAGGAAGAAGCCCAUGAAGUCGGGGUCAAAGUUGUUCUCUAUUUUUGAAGAACACUAGAAGUCAAGAUUUGAUGUGAUCUUCUUUUGGAUCGUAAUCGGUACUAUCACCGCUAUACACCAACUUUGAACUCCAUUACAGCCAUCCUGUCAUCACCCCUUCUAAUCAGCCAUCCUCACAUUCUGCUCCUCUGUUCAUCGGCCUGAACAUAACCUCUAACGCCACCCACAUCACACACCACCGGACUACCAUAACCCAACAUACCUGCAAGCCAACACACAUAUGCCAUCAAAAAAGAUAAAAAGAAAAGAAAAGACAGAAAACGAGAUAGAUUCAGAAGAGAGAAAGAAGAAGGGGUUGUGAUCGAGUUUAAUAAAAAAGAAAAAAAAACGAGAUAGAUUCAGAAGAGAGAAAGAAGAAGAGGUUGUGAUCGAGUUUAAUAAAAAAGAAAAAAAACAAAUACAGGCCUUAACCUCUUCUUGAUAUACCAUAGAAAUCCGAUCAACACUACCAGACUCACUAUCCCCAAGUUCUUGUGAUCUGAAUCGAAGAAGGUUUGGUGAGAAUCGAAUCGGAACAGAAAAGAAGGAAGGGAGGGUCAUGGUUGUUGUCGAUUGAAGCUAGAAUAUGAAGGAGACUACCUGUGAUUGUGAGAGAAGGAGGGGUGCAUCGACUUGAGAUUUGAGCUACGUGUGAUGUGAAAAGUUUGUUGAUGAACACAUUGAAGAACACCGAUGAUUUUUUUUGGGUGAAUGUUUGAUCUGAAAAGUUGAGUUCUUUGUGUGUGUAUGCGUGUGUGUGAGAGAGAGAUAAGUGGGGUAAUAUAUAUUUUUUGUUUUUUUUAAUUAAAGGAAUUACAAUUCAAUUAAAAGAAAUAGAAAAAAAACAAUUUUAAGGGCA
Lactuca sativa (garden lettuce) is the source of this 1258-nucleotide long non-coding RNA. RefSeq lists it as uncharacterized. Lineage: Eukaryota; Viridiplantae; Streptophyta; Magnoliopsida; Asterales; Asteraceae. The record is from RefSeq and is a predicted model, not a curated record.